CGAGCAGAGGAUCAAAGGGGCUUUGUGGCCGCGGAACAAGGAGCCUCCCUGAGCGCGGGCAGAGGUGUGAUAGCCACUUUGCAGAUCACAGUAGCCCCGGGCACACUUCCAACCCCAGCCACUCCACCCUCCCUCGGCUUCCAGCAUGCCCCAGGGCCCACAAACUCUCGGCUGACACAAAACCAGAAUCCUCAACACCAGCACAACAAUCAGACCCUGCAUCCAUGUCAAGGACAAAUAUAAACCCCGUGUGUGUCGGGGCAUCUGGCCCUGUGAGCUCUCGGGUGUCAGGAGCAAGGACCGCCAGGUGGGGGCGCUCCAGGCUGGCAUCAGGUGUGAUGCUCUGGACCUCCUUACCCGUCAUAGAAACAAGGACCAAAACAGCAGCUCAGCAGCCAAGAUGGGAGGAUCGCCUCUCAGAAGAACUCAAUGUUAUCAACCCCCUCCCCGGAGCAACCAGGGAAGACUGACUCGCAUCACGGGAGAUGAGGGGUCUCCCCACCACAACUCAACAGUCAUACAACUGUCAUAUCUCCCAUGUGUUCUUCUAAGGGCCCACUUCUCUUUCCAAAAAGUCAUUUGUUUUCCAUUUAAUUUGCAGACCCUCAAGCACUGAACCUAAGAGGAUAGAGGAAAAGGUUUUCCUCCCCAACAUCUACAACUGCACCUUCCCCACCCCUGGCCAGCAAUUUAGACCCAAAGUCUGUUUCUCAAAAUCUGCUAAAACAGGACAACCUACCCUGCAGAAUGCUCCCAUCCCAAAAGGUUUCCACAGUCGAAUAAAUUUGGCAAUUGCUACCCUCUACAGUCCCU
Diceros bicornis minor is the source of this 813-nucleotide long non-coding RNA. RefSeq lists it as uncharacterized. The record is from RefSeq and is a predicted model, not a curated record. Lineage: Eukaryota; Metazoa; Chordata; Mammalia; Perissodactyla; Rhinocerotidae. The transcript is spliced from 4 exons.